UGCGUAGGUGGUUUCUUAAGUCAGGGGUGAAAGGCUACGGCUCAACCGUAGUAAGCCUUUGAAACUGGGAAACUUGAGUGCAGGAGAGGAGAGUGGAAUUCCUAGUGUAGCGGCGAAAUGCGUAGAUAUUAGGAGGAACACCAGUUGCGAAGGCGGCUCUCUGGACUGUAACUGACACUGAGGCACGAAAGCGUGGGGAGGCAAAACA
RNAcentral lists this ribosomal RNA (208 nucleotides) under uncultured bacterium. Its description in RNAcentral is "partial 16S ribosomal RNA". It matches the Rfam family "Bacterial small subunit ribosomal RNA", at positions 568 to 776 of the family's 1533-position model. The record is from RNAcentral.